CUUACGGGAGGCAGCAGUGGGGAAUAUUGCACAAUGGGCGCAAGCCUGAUGCAGCCAUGCCGCGUGUGUGAAGAAGGCCUUCGGGUUGUAAAGCACUUUCAGCGGGGAGGAAGGCGGUGAGGUUAAUAACCUCAUCGAUUGACGUUACCCGCAGAAGAAGCACCGGCUAACUCCGUGCCAGCAGCCGCGGUAAUACGGAGGGUGCAAGCGUUAAUCGGAAUUACUGGGCGUAAAGCGCACGCAGGCGGUCUGUCAAGUCGGAUGUGAAAUCCCCGGGCUCAACCUGGGAACUGCAUUCGAAACUGGCAGGCUAGAGUCUUGUAGAGGGGGGUAGAAUUCCAGGUGUAGCGGUGAAAUGCGUAGAGAUCUGGAGGGAUACCGGUGGCGAAGGCGGCCCCCUGGACAAAGACUGACGCUCAGGUGCGAAAGCGUGGGGAGCAAACAGGAUUAGAUACCCGUGUAGUC
RNAcentral lists this ribosomal RNA (465 nucleotides) under uncultured Klebsiella sp. RNAcentral describes it as "bacterial SSU rRNA". It matches the Rfam family "Bacterial small subunit ribosomal RNA", at positions 338 to 795 of the family's 1533-position model. The record is from RNAcentral. Lineage: Bacteria; Pseudomonadati; Pseudomonadota; Gammaproteobacteria; Enterobacterales; Enterobacteriaceae.